GACGAACGCUGGCGGCGUGCCUAAUACAUGCAAGUCGAACGCAGUGGGGACGGGUGAGCAACACGUGGGUAACCUUCAAUCAGAGGGGAGAACACUUGGAAACAGGUGCUAAACCGAUACUGCUGGAUGAACCGGCGGUGCAUUAGCUGGUUGGUGAGGUAAAGGCUUACCAAGGCCAUGAUGCAUAGCCGGCCGGAGAGGAUGAUCGGCCACACUGGAACUGAGACACGGCCCAGACUCCUACGGGAGGCAGCAGUAGGGAAUAUUCGACAAUGGGCGAAAGUCUGACCGAGCAAUGCCGCGUGUGUGAAGAAGGUUUUCGGAUCGUAAAGCUCUGUUAUUAGGGAAGCGGUAUCUAACCAGUAAGCCACGGCUAACUACGUGCCAGCAGCCGCGGUAAUAC
Molecule: ribosomal RNA, 403 nt
Filed under: uncultured bacterium
Lineage: Bacteria
Description: partial 16S ribosomal RNA
Rfam family: Bacterial small subunit ribosomal RNA
Source: RNAcentral